This 216-nucleotide unclassified non-coding RNA is filed under the name plant metagenome. RNAcentral describes it as "partial contains small subunit ribosomal RNA and internal transcribed spacer 1". The stretch from base 1 to 46 matches the Rfam family "Eukaryotic small subunit ribosomal RNA", at positions 1786 to 1831 of the family's 1831-position model. The record is from RNAcentral.
AAGUCGUAACAAGGUUUCCGUAGGUGAACCUGCGGAAGGAUCAUUACCAAAACUUUAGGUUUAUUCCCCUUCUUAGGGUUGGUAGCCAUACCCUUUGUCUACGUGUACCUAUCGUUGUUUCCUCGGGGGGCUAUUUGCCCCCUGCAUAGGAAUGACCCCUUAAAACCCUUUGUAUUAAUAGUAUUAAACCUCUGAUAACUACCUAAAUAAUCACAA